RNAcentral lists this long non-coding RNA (1951 nucleotides) under Vigna radiata. RNAcentral describes it as "long non-coding RNA (VRAD_LNC018258)". Lineage: Eukaryota; Viridiplantae; Streptophyta; Magnoliopsida; Fabales; Fabaceae. The record is from RNAcentral.
CGCAACUACUACCUCAAACAACGUAAAGUGGUAGGAAAAGGGGUACACAAACCCUAUUUUCAGGAUUUUUUUCUUUCGGGGUUUGUUGGGUAACCACUAUCUUUACACUCUUCGGAUCAUAUUGUUUAGUUUACUCACUGGUAAUUAACCAAAUUAAGACCAAUCAAUGAUUGGUUAGAUACAUUACUGUAAACAUGAAUACUCGUUUGUGAUUCGUAUAUGAAAAGUGAAAGAGAAAAAAAAAAGAAAAGUUACAAACUUAAGUAAUUUUUAGGGCUGUUAGUAUGAAGUUUUACCACUAAACAGUUUAAAAACGAAGUUAAGGAAUAGCAAAAUACUACGGUAAAGAGGAAGUAUUAAGUUAAAUGCAGCAUUACAUAUAUGCAUGACAAAAUCAGAUCCUAUUAAGUUAAAUUCAGUACGCAACAAUGUAUCUUCAUUUAUAUUGCUUUCUAAUGCAUCAACAUUGAAUGACAUGAAAAAUUAAGAAGGUCAAAGAUAGGAUUUAAGGAAGACAACUAAGAGGUGUGGUGUCAGUCUGAGUAUUCAAUUAAACUGAAUAGUCAAGUUAACAAAGAGUGGGAUAUUUCGGAUUUUAUCGAAAUUUCCUUUUUUUCAGUAUUUCUAAACACCAAUUAGUAAAAGACUAAGUGUCUAUUAAUCUAAAUAAGAAGAACAAAUACAAAAACAAACACAAAAUCGUUUUGCUGAACUAAAAAUUUAAGCCCCAGAUUUAAUUAAAUGUGUGAUAAUCUGAACCCUGUUGUAGAAAAAAAAAUGUGGAAGUGAAGAGAAAGGAAAGUAAGCGAGCCGAAUUCACCUCAUCAGAAAGGAAUUAGCAUAGGCAUUAAUUGAUAAAAAUAAAUAUAAUAGAUGAAUACAUAUAAGAACAAUGAUGGUACAACUUGAUAUAGCAAUGCCUCACUAGCUACUAAAUAAUAAUGAAUAUCAUCAUCAAGCAUUGAAAACCUUGGAAAGAGCUUGCAGCACAUUGAGUUGGAUCCUUAAUUUUAAGAUGUGUUCCGCCGUCUUAAGGAAGAGCCGGUCGGGGUUCAUUCCGGCGCCACCGGGAACCAGGCGCUGCAGCUUCUUCAUCCUCCUCUCUACACCCUCUUGCCUCCUCCUCCUCUUCCCCCACCUCACCUUUCUCAUGUCCCUGCAACCCAUUAAUUUUUAGCACAAUUUUGUGUCCCAAAGGAAGAAAAUACUAAUAAAUAUGGUAGAUUUGUUCAAAUGAAAGAAGAGAAAGAAAGGAAAGAAGAAAACAAUGAUGGGAGUGGAAGAGAAUGGCAUGGAAUGAGAAAUGGGGGAGGGCUAUAAAUGAAUGGAGAAAAAGGCAAAGUUCAAGAAACGGGCCAUGAGAGCCGAGCCCAGCCGAUCCCAUUUUCAAGCGGCUAGCGCCCCGAACAAAACAUAAAUAAUAAUAAUAAUAAUAAUAAUAAUAAUAAUAAUAAUAUUUUAUUUUUUUAUUCAUAUACACUACUUAUAUAAUAUGAAACAAUUUCCGCUAUUUAUUGGUUAUUAUGUGUAUUUUGCGUGUGGAUUUUGGAGGAAGACUCGGUUUUAGUUUGGCGUGUUACGGGCUGGUGGGCCAGGCCCACGUUUGUCGUGGAGCGGCCCACGCACGUGUCUGUCAGUGGCUGGCACCAGCCAGAUUUAUGAACGGCUUGCGUUGCAUACACGUGUCCUAGUAAUCCUCGAAUCCCGACAGUUGUUCGCUCCUGUCACGGGAUCGGAUCGGUUGCGUCAUGCCCCAUCGUAAAUCCGAGUCUGAGUCAGCAAAUCGUGCGGCUAACGAUGGUCCUGCAAUGGACCCCACGCGCGAAAUUCGGUUUCCCACGUGCGGCCUCACAUGGCCUUGUUCUUUCUCGUGUGGUGGUGAGGUCCAACCAAAUUCCAGAACACUUCUCUUCACCAGAGACUCACUCACCCUUGCCUUGCCUGCACCCAC